GGGACCUGGUGCUGGGUGAAAAACUGGUCCCUGAUGAGUGGAUUUGGAGCGGCGAAUGGUGUAUGGAUCAGCAGAGUGUGAAGGGUGAGGUCAUAAUGUUGCGCCCAGAUGACUUGUGUGGUUUUUGGGGCAGUGUCUGGGGGCUCAUUGCUUCCACUGGUCCAGAGAGUGUGCCAUAAUAACUACCCGAUCCACACCUGAACAACCAAAGGAACCAGUGCAGACUCCAUGAUGUCAUGUCUCCACACCACCCAUCUCCCCUGGGACCAUAACCAAUCAGGCAAAGUGCUGUCCCUCCACUGAACCUCUUAGCUCCUCAGCCCUCUCUUAAAGCUCCUGACCUGUCACCUUGCCAUUAUCUACCUAUAGAAACACCUAGCAUAGCGCUCCUGUGGUACUUUGCCAUUGGUCAGGCACAGUUGGAAGAAAGCAAUCUUGUCUCCUAGUGUGUCACAGCAGUCCACACAUCCUUAUACAUUGCUGUUCCAGAUCUGACUAACUUGGUUUGGUGGCACUGGCAUCAUCUGCUUGAAGAAUGAACGUAAAUACGUUUAAUGCCAUAUGGUACAUCAUCUCACACAAAGUAAAAACACUUCCAUGGAGAUAAGCAGGUGACAGACUC
Molecule: long non-coding RNA, 622 nt
Organism: Boleophthalmus pectinirostris (great blue-spotted mudskipper)
Lineage: Eukaryota; Metazoa; Chordata; Actinopteri; Gobiiformes; Gobiidae
Exons: 5
Source: RefSeq, a predicted model, not a curated record